Otolemur garnettii (small-eared galago) is the source of this 164-nucleotide small nuclear RNA. Its record names the gene U1. It matches the Rfam family "U1 spliceosomal RNA". Rfam says of the family: U1 is a small nuclear RNA (snRNA) component of the spliceosome (involved in pre-mRNA splicing). Its 5' end forms complementary base pairs with the 5' splice junction, thus defining the 5' donor site of an intron. There are significant differences in sequence and secondary structure between metazoan and yeast U1 snRNAs, the latter being much longer (568 nucleotides as compared to 164 nucleotides in human). The record is from Ensembl. NCBI's taxonomy places the organism in Eukaryota, Metazoa, Chordata, Mammalia, Primates, Galagidae.
AUACUUACCUGGCAGGGGAGAUGCCAUGAUCAUGAAGGUGGAUAAGAGUGAGGCUUAUCCAUUGCACUCCUGAUGUACUGACCCCUGCGAUUUCCCCAAAUGUGGGAAACUCGGCUGCAUAAUUUGUGGUGGUGGUGGGGGGACUGCAUUUGCACUUUCCCCUG